This 305-nucleotide ribosomal RNA is filed under the name uncultured bacterium. Its description in RNAcentral is "bacterial SSU rRNA". It matches the Rfam family "Bacterial small subunit ribosomal RNA", at positions 338 to 657 of the family's 1533-position model. The record is from RNAcentral.
CCUACGGGGGGCAGCAGUGGGGAAUAUUGGGCAAUGGGCGCAAGCCUGACCCAGCAAUGCCGCGUGAAGGAAGAAGGCCCUCGGGUUGUAAACUUCUUUUAUCAGGGACGAAGGAUGUGACGGUACCUGAUGAAUAAGCUCCGGCUAACUACGUGCCAGCAGCCGCGGUAAUACGUAGGGAGCAAGCGUUAUCCGGAUUUACUGGGUGUAAAGGGCGCGUAGGCGGGAUGGCAAGUCAGAUGUGAAAUCCAGGGGCUCAACCCCUGAACUGCAUUUGAAACUGUCGUUCUUGAGUACUGGAGAGG